GGAAGGGCUGUAGCUCAGUGGUAAAACACCUGCUUUGCAUGCAGAAGGCCACAGGUUUAAUCCCCAACACCUCCA
Non-coding RNA from Podarcis lilfordi (Lilford's wall lizard), 75 nucleotides. The record is from the annotation of a GenBank genome assembly. NCBI's taxonomy places the organism in Eukaryota, Metazoa, Chordata, Lepidosauria, Squamata, Lacertidae.